GUCUUUGAACCCUUGUGCAGCGUGGGAUGCAGCAUGCACCAGACAUAAGCAUACAGGAUUUCUGGGAGAAGAAACCCAACCUAAUAAAUGAACUACUAUUUCAGAAUGAGUAAUGAGGCAAAAAUUAACCAGAAAACAUACAUACACCCAGGGAAAAGUUGCAGAGAAGUGCAAAUUACCAGGCUUAAGAUAAAUUAAGAAGCACUGGCACCUUCACUGAUCUUCAUACCAAGAGCUGCCCAUAAAGUGGUGCUGCCGAGAUUGGAUUGCUCCUGCAUGCUCCCUCAGUGAUUUUUAUAUUUUAAUAAGACCGUUCAUUAUAGUUAGCUCCGUGUGUUGGAGCCAUUAGAUAUUUAUGGGAAAUAGCAUAUCAUUAUCUCAGUUGCAUUCUGAGCCAUUUGGGAUGCUUUUAAGUUAGGGUGAUUUUUUUCCUGUCUCAAUUUUACACACACUAGUGCCUAUGUGCCUGUUGAGCUUAUUUCUGUCUUUAGGUUCUUUGAUCCUAUUUUUCAACUUUAUUGUGUUAAAGUGGCAGAUGAACAGUGUCACUGACUGCUAGACAGGAGUAGCCUCAAAUUCAGUUAAUUCAAAAAUUUACUCUCUUAAGAGAGGGGCUGACGUUCUAAGUCCUUUAUUUAUUCUCACUCAUCUAAAAUUCCAUCAGGGAACAUUCAUACACAUCCCCUUAUCUCUUCAGAUUUACCAUUAGUGAUCUAAGAAUGGAAACGAUGAUUUUGACAUUACAUGACCAUAAGAAGGAAGGAUGUUAAUAGGAAUUCUUAGAGCUUAUAAAGGCAAAAAGCAAACACAACACACACUUGAAAAUUAUUAGUGAGCAAUGAAACUAAAGGUAGCUCUAGUACAACUGAGUAAUUUUCCGUGUUGACAUGUGAACCUAUUGAAGGUUCUAAGUUAUAUUUGUGAUUUUAAUGUAAUAAAGUACAUAUUAAGUUUAGAUUGGGAUUUAGCAAAUCUGUAUUGUUAUUCUUGUAACUGUAUUUUUCCAGUUUGGGUUGGGGGUGGCUAAAGAUUAUACAGCAAAAUCCUUUUCUCUCUUAUUCGUUAUUUGUUUAUAUUAAAGAUCUAUUAUCUGAAUUGUUUUAAAAUUUUUAUUUGCUAUCCUGCCUGGUGUGGCUAGCUUCUGCAUCAAAUCCAGAAGUUUUCAAACUCAUACAUAUUAUUUUAUUUCAUAUUCAUUAUGUUUAUUGUGGUAGUAGCCUAGAAUUGUUUAUUUAGUAAAGAUUUGUUG
Molecule: long non-coding RNA, 1249 nt
Filed under: Callithrix jacchus (white-tufted-ear marmoset)
Lineage: Eukaryota; Metazoa; Chordata; Mammalia; Primates; Cebidae
Description: lncRNA (ENSCJAG00000082109.1)
Source: RNAcentral